GGAAUUAAAAAGGCAUCUUUUUAUUUUUUAAAGACCUUUUUCGGAAGGUAUGCUUAAAGAGGGGCUUGCGUCACAUUAGUUAGUUGGCAGGGUAAAGGCCUACCAAGACUAUGAUGUGUAGCUGGACUGAGAGGUUGAACAGCCACAUUGGGACUGAGACACGGCCCAAACUCCUACGGGAGGCAGCAGUAGGGAAUUUUCGGCAAUGGAGGAAACUCUGACCGAGCAACGCCGCGUGAACGAUGAAGUAUUUCGGUAUGUAAAGUUCUUUUAUUGAAGAAGAAAAAAUAGUGGAAAAACUAUCUUGACGAUAUUCAAUGAAUAAGCCCCGGCAAACUAUGUGCCAGCAGCCGCGGUAAUACAUAGGGGGCGAGCGUUAUCCGGAAUUAUUGGGCGUAAAGGGUGCGUAGGCGGUUUAAUAAGUCUAUAGUUUAAUUUCAGUGCUUAACACUGUCCUGCUAUAGAAACUAUUAGACUAGAGUGAGAUAGAGGCAAGUGGAAUUCCAUGUGUAGCGGUAAAAUGCGUAAAUAUAUGGAGGAACACCAGAGGCGUAGGCGGCUUGCUGGGUCUUUACUGACGCUGAGGCACGAAAGCGUGGGGAGCAAACAGGAUUAGAUACCCUGGUAGUCCACGCCGUAAACGAUGAGUACUAAGUGUCGGGAUUACUCGGUACUGAAGUUAACACAUUAAGUACUCCGCCUGAGUAGUACGUACGCAAGUAUGAAACUUAAAGGAAUUGACGGGACUCCGCACAAGCGGUGGAUCAUGUUGUUUAAUUUGAAGAUACACGAAAAACCUUACCAGGUCUUGACAUACUCUGCAAAGCUAUAGCAAUAUAGUGGAGGUUAUCAGGGAUACAGGUGGUGCAUGGUUGUCGUCAGCUCGUGUCGUGAGAUGUUAGGUUAAGUCCUAAAACGAGCGCAACCCUUGUCAUUAGUUGCCAGCAUGUCAUGAUGGGCACUUUAAUGAGACUGCCAAUGAAAAAUUGGAGGAAGGUGAGGAUCACGUCAAAUCAUCAUGCCCCUUAUGAUCUGGGCUACAAACGUGAUACAAUGGCUGUUACAAAGAGUAGCUGAAACGCAAGUUUAUAGCCAAUCUCAUAAAAGCAGUCUCAGUUCGGAUUGAAGUCUGCAACUCGACUUCAUGAAGUUGGAAUCGCUAGUAAUCGCGAAUCAGCAUGUCGCGGAAAUUA
RNAcentral lists this ribosomal RNA (1193 nucleotides) under Candidatus Phytoplasma oryzae. RNAcentral's name for it is "bacterial SSU rRNA". It matches the Rfam family "Bacterial small subunit ribosomal RNA", at positions 171 to 1368 of the family's 1533-position model. Lineage: Bacteria; Bacillati; Mycoplasmatota; Mollicutes; Acholeplasmatales; Acholeplasmataceae. The record is from RNAcentral.